RNAcentral lists this ribosomal RNA (434 nucleotides) under uncultured Lachnospiraceae bacterium. Its description in RNAcentral is "bacterial SSU rRNA". It matches the Rfam family "Bacterial small subunit ribosomal RNA", at positions 341 to 792 of the family's 1533-position model. Lineage: Bacteria; Bacillati; Bacillota; Clostridia; Lachnospirales; Lachnospiraceae. The record is from RNAcentral.
ACGGAAGGCAGCAGUGGGGAAUAUUGGACAAUGGGGGAAACCCUGAUCCAGCGACGCCGCGUGACUGAAGAAGUAUUUCGGUAUGUAAAGGUCUAUCAGCAGGGAAGAAAAUGACGGUACCUGACUAAGAAGCCCCGGCUAACUACGUGCCAGCAGCCGCGGUAAUACGUAGGGGGCAAGCGUUAUCCGGAUUUACUGGGUGUAAAGGGAGCGUAGACGGCGAAGCAAGUCUGAAGUGAAAGCCCGGGGCUCAACCCCGGAAUUGCUUUGGAAACUGUUUUGCUGGAGUGCAGGAGAGGCAAGCGGAAUUCCUAGUGUAGCGGUGAAAUGCGUAGAUAUUAGGAGGAACACCAGUGGCGAAGGCGGCUUGCUGGACUGUAACUGACGUUGAGGCUCGAAAGCGUGGGGAGCAAACAGGAUUAGAUACCCUGGUA